Molecule: ribosomal RNA, 1342 nt
Filed under: uncultured bacterium
Lineage: Bacteria
Description: 16S ribosomal RNA
Rfam family: Bacterial small subunit ribosomal RNA
Source: RNAcentral
GACGAACGCUGGCGGCGUGCUUAACACAUGCAAGUCGAACGGAAAGGCCCUGCUUUUGUGGGGUGCUCGAGUGGCGAACGGGUGAGUAACACGUGAGUAACCUGCCCUUGACUUUGGGAUAACUUCAGGAAACUGGGGCUAAUACCGGAUAGGAGCUCCUGCUGCAUGGUGGGGGUUGGAAAGUUUCGGCGGUUGGGGAUGGACUCGCGGCUUAUCAGCUUGUUGGUGGGGUAGUGGCUUACCAAGGCUUUGACGGGUAGCCGGCCUGAGAGGGUGACCGGCCACAUUGGGACUGAUAUACCGCCCAGACUCCUACGGGAGGCAGCAGUGGGGAAUAUUGCACCAUGGGCGGAAGCCUGAUGCAGCAACGCCGCGUGCGGGAUGACAGCCCUCGGGUUGUAAACCGCUUUCGCCUGUGACGAAGCGUGAGUGACGGUAAUGGGUAAAGAAGCACCGGCUAACUACGUGCCAUCAGCCGCGGUGAUACUUAGGGUGCGAGCGUUGUCCGGAAUUAUUGGGCGUAAACGGCUCAUAGGUGGUUGAUCGCGUCGGAAGGUAAUCUUGGGGCUUAACCCUGAGCGUGCUUUCGAUACGGGUUGACUUGAGGAAGGUAGGGGAGAAUGGAAUUCCUGGUGGAGCGGUGGAAUGCGCAGAUAUCAGGAGGAACACCAGUGGCGAAGGCGGUUCUCUGGGCCUUUCCUGACGCUGAGGAGCGAAAGCGUGGGGAGCGAACAGGCUUAGAUACCCUGGUAGUCCACGCUGUAAACGGUGGGUACUAGGUGUGGGGUCCAUUCCACGGGUUCCGUGCCGUAGCUAACGCUUUAAGUACCCCGCCUGGGGAGUACGGCCGCAAGGCUAAAACUCAAAGGAAUUGACGGGGCCCCGCACAAGCGGCGGAGCAUGCGGAUUAAUUCGAUGCAACGCGUAGAACCUUACCUGGGUUUGACAUGGAUCGGGAGCGCUCAGAGAUGGGUGUGCCUCUUUUGGGGUCGGUUCACAGGUGGUGCAUGGCUGUCGUCAGCUCGUGUCGUGAGAUGUUGGGUUAAGUCCCGCAACGAGCGCAACCCUUGUUCACUGUUGCCAGCACGUUAUGGUGGGGACUCAGUGGAGACCGCCGGGGUCAACUCGGAGGAAGGUGGGGAUGACGUCAAGUCAUCAUGCCCCUUAUGUCCAGGGCUUCACGCAUGCUACAAUGGCUGGUACAGAGAGUGGCGAGCCUGUGAGGGUGAGCGAAUCUCGGAAAGCCGGUCUCAGUUCGGAUUGGGGUCUGCAACUCGACCUCAUGAAGUCGGAGUCGCUAGUAAUCGCAGAUCAGCAACGCUGCGGUGAAUACGUUCCCGGG